AGAGUUUGAUCCUGGCUCAGAUUGAACGCUGGCGGCAUGCCUUACACAUGCAAGUCGAACGGUAACGCGGGGCAACCUGGCGACGAGUGGCGAACGGGUGAGUAAUACAUCGGAACGUGCCCAGUAGUGGGGGAUAGCCCGGCGAAAGCCGGAUUAAUACCGCAUACGACCUACGGGUGAAAGCGGGGGACCGCAAGGCCUCGCGCUAUUGGAGCGGCCGAUGUCAGAUUAGGUAGUUGGUGGGGUAAAGGCCUACCAAGCCUGCGAUCUGUAGCUGGUCUGAGAGGACGACCAGCCACACUGGGACUGAGACACGGCCCAGACUCCUACGGGAGGCAGCAGUGGGGAAUUUUGGACAAUGGGCGCAAGCCUGAUCCAGCCAUGCCGCGUGCGGGAAGAAGGCCUUCGGGUUGUAAACCGCUUUUGUCAGGGAAGAAAUCCUUUGGGCUAAUACCCUGAAGGGAUGACGGUACCUGAAGAAUAAGCACCGGCUAACUACGUGCCAGCAGCCGCGGUAAUACGUAGGGUGCAAGCGUUAAUCGGAAUUACUGGGCGUANAGCGUGCGCAGGCGGUUGUGCAAGACAGGUGUG
This 591-nucleotide ribosomal RNA is filed under the name uncultured freshwater bacterium. RNAcentral describes it as "bacterial SSU rRNA". It matches the Rfam family "Bacterial small subunit ribosomal RNA", at positions 8 to 596 of the family's 1533-position model. The record is from RNAcentral.